AGAUUGAACGCUGGCGGCGUGCUUAACACAUGCAAGUCGAGCGGUAACGCGGGAGCAAUCCUGGCGACGAGCGGCGAACGGGUGAGUAAUGCUUGGGAAUCUGCCCAUUAGUGGGGAACAACCAGCCGAAAGGUUGGCUAAUACCGCAUACGCCCUACGGGGGAAAGCGGGGGCUCGUAAGACCUCGCGCUAAUGGAUGAGCCCAAGUCGGAUUAGCUUGUUGGUAGGGUAACGGCCUACCAAGGCGACAAUCCGUAGCUGGUCUGAGAGGACGACCAGCCACACCGGAACUGAGACACGGUCCGGACUCCUACGGGAGGCAGCAGUGGGGAAUAUUGGACAAUGGGGGAAACCCUGAUCCAGCGACGCCGCGUGUGUGAAGAAGGCCUGCGGGUUGUAAAGCACUUUUAGUGGGGACAAAAGCUACGGACUAAUAUUCUGUGGUCUUGAUUUAACCAAAGAAAAGCACCGGCUAACUCUGUGCCAGCAGCCGC
RNAcentral lists this ribosomal RNA (494 nucleotides) under uncultured bacterium. Its description in RNAcentral is "SSU rRNA". It matches the Rfam family "Bacterial small subunit ribosomal RNA", at positions 26 to 518 of the family's 1533-position model. The record is from RNAcentral.